RNAcentral lists this ribosomal RNA (406 nucleotides) under uncultured bacterium. Its description in RNAcentral is "partial 16S ribosomal RNA". It matches the Rfam family "Bacterial small subunit ribosomal RNA", at positions 29 to 526 of the family's 1533-position model. The record is from RNAcentral.
AUUGAACGCUGGCGGCAGGCCUAACACAUGCAAGUCGAACGAGUGGCGGACGGGUGAGUAAUGUCUGGGAAACUGCCCGAUGGAGGGGGGUAACUACUGGAAACGGUAGAUAAUACCGCAUACCAUCGGAUGUUCCCAGAUGGGAUUAGCUAGUGGGUGGGGUAACGGCUCACUUGGGCGACGAUCCCUAGCUGGUCUGAGAGGAUGACCGGCCACACUGGAACUGAGAAACGGUCCAGACCCCGACGGGAGGAAGCAGUGGGGAAUAUUGCACAAUGGGCGCAAGCCUGAUGCAGCAAUGCCGCGUGGAUGAAGAAGGCCUUCGGGUUGUAAAGUACUGUCAGCGAGGAGGCGUUACUCGCAGAGGAAGCACCGGCUAACUCCGUGCCAGCAGCCGCGGUAAUAC